This is an RNA transcript of Gorilla gorilla gorilla (western lowland gorilla), 2551 nucleotides long. It is a transcript of the gene named putative EP400-like protein, with no coding region annotated. The transcript has 7 exons. NCBI's taxonomy places the organism in Eukaryota, Metazoa, Chordata, Mammalia, Primates, Hominidae. The record is from RefSeq and is a predicted model, not a curated record.
CUCCCGCGCUUGCGCACUGGCUCCGCGUCGGCCGGUCGGUUUGGUCGGUUGUAGUGGCCUAGCCGCCCCGUCCGCUGUCGCCCCGCUCAUCCGCGCCGGGAGCCCUUGGCUACGUCGCCCGGCAGCCGCGGGAGCAUUUCCUGAAGACGUAGUCAUGCAGCACGUCAGCAGCUCCCAGAGCAGCCAGCGCCAUGUCCAGUGGCCUGGGGCCUGCCCCAGCAUGGGCGAGGAGCAGCCAGCGUGCUCCCAGCCGUCCCUGCCCCUCACACUGCCAUCCCCCAGCCACCAACUACAGCAGCUGAUGGAUGGGUCAGGGCUCACCCAGAUCGCCCAGGGAGCCCAGGUUCAGCUCCAGCACCCGGGUACGCCCAUCACAGUCCAAGAGCGGAGACCCUCCCAGCCCCACACACAGUCAGGGGGCACCAUCCAUCACCUGGGACCCCAGAGCCCUGCAGCCGCGGGUGGGGCCGGCCUGCAGCCCCUGGCCAGCCCAAGCCACAUCACCACGGCUAACUUGCCACCGCAGAUCAGCAGCAUCAUCCAGGGCCAGCUGGUUCAGCAGCAGCAGGUGCUGCAGGGGCCGCCGCUGCCCCGGCCCCUGGGCUUCGAGAGGACGCCCGGCGUGCUGCUCCCCGGGGCUGGGGGCGCAGCGGGGUUUGGGAUGACGUCCCCACCCCCGCCCACCAGCCCUUCCAGGACUGCCGUGCCCCCAGGCCUUUCCAGCCUCCCACUCACGUCUGUGGGGAACGCGGGAAUGAAGAAGGCUCCCAAGAAGUUAGAGGAGAUUCCCCCAGCCUCUCCGGAGAUGGCACAGAUGAGGAAGCAGUGCCUGGACUAUCACUACCAGGAGAUGCAGGCUCUGAAGGAGGUCUUCAAGGAGUAUUUGAUUGAACUGUUUUUCUUGCAACACUUUCAAGGGAACAUGAUGGAUUUCUUAGCUUUCAAGAAGAAACAUUAUGCCCCAUUACAAGCAUAUCUUAGGCAGAAUGAUUUGGACAUUGAAGAAGAGGAAGAGGAGCACUUUGAAGUCAUUAAUGAUGAGGUAAAGGUUGUGGCCAGAAAGCACGGGCAGCCUGGGACUCCUGUUGCCAUAGCAACCCAGCUACCGCCGAGGACUUCUGCGGCUUUUCCAGCCCAGCAGCAGCCGCUCCAGCCCCGGCACCCACCACUGUACUGUCUGUCUCUGCGGAUUGGAAUGCACUUCUCCAGCGACCUAAGCCGAGUCAUAUGCCACAGGAUGGGUGGACCGCAUGUGUUGAUCCAGCUCUUGGUGGACACUUGGGUUGCUUCCACAUUUCAGCUACUGGGAACAGCACUGCCCUGAUGAUGGGCGCACAGAUAUCUCUUCAAGGUCCUGCUUUCAGUUCUCUUGGGCAUAUACCCAGAGUGGAAGUGCUGGGUCACGCACUAACUCUGUGUUUAACUGUUUAGGAAAGUCCAUGCCAUUUUCAUAGUAGCUGCACCAUUUUACAUCCCACCAGCAAGAACGAGGUUUUCUUUCUCCACAUCCUUGUCAAUGCUUGUACAUUUUUUUAAUAGUGGCCACCCUAAUAGGUGUGCUGUAUGCUUUAUAAUGUAAUAGAAAAAUAUUACUGACUAUGCAUGUACAUAUGGCUAAAGACAUUCAGCGUUGGCCGGGCACGGUGGCUCACACCUGUAAUCUCAGCACUUUGGGAGGCCGAGGCAGGCAGAUCACCUGAUGUCAGGAGUUUGAGAUCAGCCUGGCCAACAUGGUGAAACCCCAUCUCUACUAAAAAUGCAAAGAUUAGCCGGGCUUGGUGGCGGGCACCUGUAAUCCCAGCUACUUGGGAGGCUGAGGCAGGAGACUCGCUUGAACCCAGGAGGCGGAGGUUGCAGUGAGCCAAGAUUGCGCCACUGCACUCCAGCCUGGGCAACGAGAGCGAGACUCCAUCUCAAAAAAAAAAAAAAAAGGACAUUUAGAGUUUUAUUCUGUUAAUCAGCUGGCACUGUUGAUGGUUCAGAAUUGACUAGUGAGGGAGGUAGCAUUUGAAAAAACAACUUUAACUCAGAGUAACAAAUGGCAUUGGUGACAUAUGCAGAAUCCCACAGGAAGAGUGUGGAGGGAUGCACGGGCUCCUGGGAGCAGGAUGCAGGCUGUGGGGUGGCCCAGUGUGCUGUACCUGUAGCCGGCAGGGCUGGCGCCUCUGGCCUGGCCCCAGCAAGCGCAAGGACCCAGACAGAACACAGGGCUGCUCUACCCUACUCUUCUCAUGUCAUGUUCUUAAUGUUGAGAACACAGGUUGAGUUCAGUGUGAUUCUCCAAACAAACUGGCUGUGGGUAGUGUCAAUUUUCUUUUCUCCAAUUUCUUUAUUUAUAUAUUCUUUUGAGACAGAGUCUCCCUCUCUCACCCAGGCUGUAGCGUAGUGGUGUGAUCUCGGCUCACUGCAAUCUCCACCUCCCGGGUUCAAGCAAUUCUCAUGUCUCAGCCUCCUGAGUAGCUGAGAUUAUAGCAAAUACAUAUGGGGACUCCAGUACCUGGAGAUGUGAAUUCCAUAAAAAUGGAAGCAUCUAAGAGGCAGUGAACACUGG